Molecule: ribosomal RNA, 1460 nt
Filed under: Hylodes nasus (Santa Catarina tree toad)
Lineage: Eukaryota; Metazoa; Chordata; Amphibia; Anura; Hylodidae
Description: partial 16S ribosomal RNA
Rfam family: Bacterial large subunit ribosomal RNA
Source: RNAcentral
UAAAGCCCUUCGCUUACACCGAAAAGUUAUCUAUUAAUACAGAUUAUUUUGAGCCAACAAUCUAACCCCACUUCACCCUAUAACAUCUCAACACUUUUGUGAUAAAAUCAAAACAUUUUAAUAACUUAGUAGAGGCGAUCAAAAAGUUAACUGGAGUAAUAUCAAAUGUACCGCAAGGGAAAGAUGAAAUAAAAAUGAAAUAUCUUCCAAGCACAAUAAAGUAAAGAUUCUCUCUUGUACCUUUUGCAUCAUGAUUUAACUAGUCUACCUCAGCAAAAUGACUUUUAGUCUAGCCCCCCGAAACUAAGUGAGCUACUUCAAGGCAGCUUAAUGAGCAUAUCCGUCUCUGUUGCAAAAGAGUGGAGAGACCUUCAAGUAGAGGUGACAGACCUAACGAACUUAGUGAUAGCUGGUUACUCGAGAAAAGGAUCUUAGUCCCACCUAAAACUAUUGUAUUUUUAUAAAAUAAAAAUUUAUAACUUUAGAGUAAUUCAAUUAAGGUACAGCCUACUUGAAACAGGAUACAACCUUUACUAAUGGGUAAACUUCUACUCACAAUUUUUAAGUGGGCCUAAAAGCAGCCACCUUUCAAAAAGCGUCAAAGCUUUACUAUCGUGAUAAAAAAUAUCAAUUUUGUUACACAACCCUUUACUAGUACCGAGUAAUUCUAUAUUACUAUAGAAAUUUUUAUGUUAAAACUAGUAACAAGAAUAAAAUUUUCUCUGUAUGUAAGUGUACACCAGGAAGGACAAACCACUGGUAAUUAACAUUCGUGAAUCUAAUAGAAGCAACUUAACAAGAAAAACCUUCUAUAACCCAUGUUAAUCUAACACAAGCACAUGUCAAGAAAGAUUAAAAGGAAAAGAAGGAACUCGGCAAACAUUAACCUCGCCUGUUUACCAAAAACAUCGCCUCUUGUAAAAUUUUAGAGGUCCAGCCUGCCCAGUGACUUUGUUCAACGGCCGCGGUAUCCUAACCGUGCGAAGGUAGCGUAAUCACUUGUUCUUUAAAUAAGGACUAGUAUGAAUGGCAUCACGAGGGUUAUACUGUCUCCUUUUCCUAAUCAGUGAAACUAAUCUUCCCGUGAAGAAGCGGGAAUAAUUUUAUAAGACGAGAAGACCCUAUGGAGCUUUAAAUGAAUAACACCUGCUAACUAUCUACAAUAUUCAGAUACUUAACUUAUAUUUUAGCAUGAUGAUUACUAGUUUUAGGUUGGGGUGACCACGGAGUAAAAAUUAACCUCCAUAUUGUAAAGAAUAAUUUUAAGCAAGAAGUUACAACUUUAAGCAUCAAUAAAUUGACAUUUAUUGACCCAAUAUUUUGAGCAACGAACCAAGUUACCCUAGGGAUAACAGCGCAAUCCACUUUGAGAGCUCUUAUCGACAAGUGGGCUUACGACCUCGAUGUUGGAUCAGGGUAUCCCAGUGGUGUAGCCGCUACUAAAGGUUCGUUUGUUCAAC